AACUCAAAAUUUGGGGAAAUUUUUGAUUUUCAAAUUUCGGUAAAAAUGUGUAGAUCUUCUCAAGACCUUUCGAAUGAUGUGCUUUUUAAUUCAUAUAAUUACGUAAUUGUUACGUAAUACACCAAUAUGAAAAUGGCGUAGGCAGCCAAAUAUCAAAAGUCUUCCCAGCAGAAGGUCGUGAACGCGCGCGUGACGUAAUUUAUACGCGGCGGACGGUUGCCAUUGGACUUUUGUAAUCUGCUGUGACUCCCGAAUUUGAUCAACAUGGACCUAACAAGUGACAUUCUUGUCGAAUGGGAAGAUGGGAGCAAAAUGUGGUUGUCAUUGGAGAAAUAAAGUCCAAUGAUCAAUUCAAGACCAAAGAUGGGAACUCAAGUCAGCAUGCCAAGGGGAAGGUGACAUGGCAUGGGGUUGUGUUGACUAUUGAUGACAGUGUUGCCACUUCCACCUCUGAUGAUGAUGAGGAGGAGGAAAUGGAAAGGAGCAGAUCAGCCAGCUAUCACUGUAUUCAGAUGUUGCAAGUACUCCUAGCCCAACACUUCCCUGAAGAUGAACAUCACCGGAGUUCCCAGUGACACCCUCAUCAAUAUAGAUGGAUUUCUGGUUAACACCAGCAGAGCAGUUUCUCCUGGCAGCUCAUCUCAGCUUUACACUGCUGUUACCAUUGUCACAUAAUCUCAUCUUUGCAAUGAAAAGCCAAUGGAGCUUGAUUAUGACGAGAAGAGCAAGGCAAGGAUAAAGGGCUGCCCAGCCUCGGAAAUGGCAGUAGAAUAUCCAGAAGAUUAAACAGAUCUGUGCCUACCAGUUGUGAAAUGGAAAUGCACUUGAUGGAAGCAAGAUAGGUGAUCCAUGACAGGAUUCUUGUAGGCUAAUAGUAUAAAAUGCAGGUUUUAAAAGAGUGAUCAAGGACCUUUGACCUUUCAUCCAUUAUAUUCCCACUUGAAAAGGGCAUUCAAAAGAUAUUCAAGUAGUACGAAUAUGGUUAUACUACCUCAAAGUUGUAGUUAAUUAUUGACAGAACAUAGUGGUUUAAUGGAGAGUCCAUUGACCUUUGAACUUUCACCUUGAUCAUAUUUAAUACUUUAACUUGGCACAGUCUGCACAUGCUUUCAAGAGAUGCAAAUGUGAUAUGAAUUGGUGAUUUUACCUGAAUGUUGUACAAAUACCCCAAAAUAAUAUGUGAAGGGACUGAGUCCUAAGUACAUGUUAUAGACGGGAGUGUGUAUCGUUAAGUCCUGUCGGAGCAACGGAUAAAAAGAAAUUCCUCAAUAAAGGAAUUUUUUGUGUUUCAAUCAUUCGGCCUAAAAUAUUUAUUACCUCUAGAGAACUACAUGUAUGAAGGUUUUGGAAGCUGGUAUUGUUGCUAUUGGUACUGCUACAUAAUUAGAUGUUUCCUGGGAGUGUCGCUGUUUGCUUUCUUUACAGUAAAUUUUUGAAGUCAUGUUCAGAGGAAAUACAACUUACCCUUCUCUUUUUUUUUUACCUGAACUACCGUGCAAAUUCAUGAGUAAGAUUGAUAAUUUGACAAGUCCACACUUUCACUCUACAAUAUGUAAUAAUCAGGUUCAUGAAAUAUAUUUGUUGACAAGGUGCUUGUGAAGUAUUUGGAAUCAUAAUUAUUUAUUUGAGUAAUAUUUACUGAAAUAUAAAUCUGAAGUUGAUAGUAUCUUAUGAUUAGGUUGUCUAUUGUAUGAGUUAAAUUUUGUUAAUGAAAUAGAAGAGGAAUUAUAAAUAUUCGUGAAAUGUUAACAGGCAGGAGUAUAAAUGUCUCAUGUAAGAAUAGUCAUUCAAUUCACAGAAGACAAAUUUCUUCAAUGUCUUCCGUAUAUUUCAUUUUUUCCCAUUCUGCAGAAAUGCAUGUAUGAUAAUCAAUAAUUGUGGAGAACUGGGUACUUGUUUUCUCUCUUUGUUUUCAAGAGCGAAGGAAGUCUUGUAAGAUUUGUUUAAAGAGACAAAACAUAUCUGGUUGAUGUAAAGGUAUUGUGUAGAAAUAUUCUAGGACACACCAGUAAGGAUAUUGAGCUCAGUGUUUAUGAAAUCAUAAACAAUAUAUCCAGCUCAUAGAAGUGCUACCUUGAGAACCGAGUGUUUGUUUCAUGCCUUGAAUCUACAUUUGCUCAAGAUCUUAAAGUGUAAUUGUCAGAGCUAUUUACUAAUGAGAAAAUAUCAUACCGGUUAUGUUCCUUUCCAUAAAUGAAGGACUAUGCAAGACUUGUAAAUUUGCAUUUUGUGCAUAUCUAACAGGAUUUUCCUUCUGUCUUUACGGUUUCACCUGUUUACUCGUCUAAAAGCUAACACUAUUUGCAUGUACAUUUUCCUGAAAAAUUAGGAGAGAUUGAUUUGUGAAUAUGAGGUGACUGUGAUCCAUAAGCAUGAGGUGAAAACGAAUUGUAAAUAAGAGCAGAAACAUUACAGAAAACAGUUAUCAUAAUGUUAAAAUGAAUGGAUUUACAGAAUUUCUUUACUUCAUU
This 2471-nucleotide long non-coding RNA is filed under the name Strongylocentrotus purpuratus (purple sea urchin). Its description in RNAcentral is "uncharacterized LOC105443523, transcript variant X2". Lineage: Eukaryota; Metazoa; Echinodermata; Echinoidea; Camarodonta; Strongylocentrotidae. The record is from RNAcentral.